Molecule: ribosomal RNA, 377 nt
Filed under: uncultured Ideonella sp.
Lineage: Bacteria; Pseudomonadati; Pseudomonadota; Betaproteobacteria; Burkholderiales; Sphaerotilaceae
Description: bacterial SSU rRNA
Rfam family: Bacterial small subunit ribosomal RNA
Source: RNAcentral
AACGCGGGGCAACCUGGCGACGAGUGGCGAACGGGUGAGUAAUGCAUCGGAACGUGCCCAGUAGUGGGGGAUAGCCCGGCGAAAGCCGGAUUAAUACCGCAUACGACCUAAGGGUGAAAGCGGGGGAUCGCAAGACCUCGCGCUAUUGGAGCGGCCGAUGUCGGAUUAGCUAGUUGGUGGGGUAAAAGCCUACCAAGGCGACGAUCCGUAGCUGGUCUGAGAGGACGACCAGCCACACUGGGACUGAGACACGGCCCAGACUCCUACGGGAGGCAGCAGUGGGGAAUUUUGGACAAUGGGCGCAAGCCUGAUCCAGCCAUGCCGCGUGCGGGAAGAAGGCCUUCGGGUUGUAAACCGCCUUUGUCAGGGAAGAAACG